Molecule: long non-coding RNA, 879 nt
Organism: Zingiber officinale
Lineage: Eukaryota; Viridiplantae; Streptophyta; Magnoliopsida; Zingiberales; Zingiberaceae
Exons: 2
Source: RefSeq, a predicted model, not a curated record
UAAUGAUAUUAAACCUAAGUGUUAUUAUAAGAUUUCCUUUUCUCUUCUACUCAUUUUCACCGACCAAGACACCCGAUCCUCUCCCACUCUUUCCCUGCCCGAUCGAGAUCUCCCCAUCGACACCCCCAUUGCGUAAUAGAUCGACCAUCACCGGCCAUCACUGGUUGUCUCUGAUCUUCGCCGAUUUCCCCUUUAAGCCUGAUUCUUUCCUUUCCUCCUCAUCUUGCCGACACUUCCUCCUCUCCUCAUCUCGUCCGUGAUCCUGCUUUUCCUCGAUUCACCGUCGUCGGCGCACUCCUCCCCUCCCAAUCUGCCACAUCAUCUUCGAGCCACUCUCCCGUACACAGGUCAUCUUCGGCCAAAAGUGAGGAGUCGCUGCCGCCCUUUCUAUUUGCUCCGACGUUAUCAUCGAUGGGAAGAGGAGCUAUGUGGUCACCUCGUCGUAGCCCCAUGUAGAGCCCUAACACCUCACUCAUCGUAUCUCACAUUCGGUGUCCUACUUGGUGCUCAGCUUGGCAGCAUCGUUGUCUUCCAGUGCUUUAGAGCUCUCGAUCGGUUAGAGAUGAGAGGAGGGCCCGGAUCACCUUGCUGGGCUUUAUCUUGUCCUCUUCAUCAGAUCUGAAGUGGAGGGAGUACUAUCUUCCUCGUGGAUGCAUCUAGAUGUCUUCACCAAGCAACUGUAGAUCUGUAAAUUGGAUUAAGGUUGUAGGUAGUGAUUAUUGAGUCGCUUGGAGUAUCCUGUCUGUCGAUCCCAUGUCAUAUCAGAAGACGGUCGUACUUCGCUAUUGUGUUCUUAUACAUUCUUCUUACGGUAUUGGCAUUGGAUUGGUGUUUAGCCAUGUGAUUAUUUUAUCAUUUUUAGUAUUUUGUUGUGUUUAA